Non-coding RNA from Macaca mulatta (Rhesus monkey), 1073 nucleotides. NCBI's taxonomy places the organism in Eukaryota, Metazoa, Chordata, Mammalia, Primates, Cercopithecidae. The record is from RefSeq and is a predicted model, not a curated record.
UGGCCAGGCUGGUCUCGAACUUCUGACCUCAAGUGAUCCACCUGCCUCGGCCUUCUAAAGUGCUGGGAUUACAGGCGUGAACCACUUAGCCUGGUCAGUUAUUGUCUCUUUUUAAAGAUUGUGUUGCUUUCUGCCUCAAUAUUAAUAUGUUGGAAAUUACCAAGAAGUUCAUGACAGAUCUAUUUCACAUUCUGGUGAAGAAGGAAGAAUUGGCCCUUGAAGGAGUCAAUGUUUUACAAUAAUUUUGAAAGAGGAACUGGCAGUAGGGGUCAACUUGGGAAGACAGCUGUGACCAUAAAUAUUAAAGAAGACAAAAGGAUUCUUUGUGACACUGAGACCUUCUGCAGUACUACAGUGGGGGAAAUGCCGGUGUACACAGCUGGCCUCAUGUAAUUCCUGGGAUGAGAUCGUUUGGGAUGCAGUGCUGGCUGUUGCUGAGCAGGCGAUCACAGUGCGUACUGUGUUUCUUUCCUUGAGAAUAUUUGAAUCUCGCCUGAGUACUCAUAACAGAUGAGAAACACAGGUUUUGAUAGCAUAGAUUCACACUAUCAUGAGUCAUGAGCUCUUGAGAGCAAAGUAAUUGGUUUUGUCCUCUUUAGAGUUAGACCCUGUGGUUGGGUAUGAAAGAUGAGUGUCUGUAAAAAUCUGUCUUAGAAAUGUAUUUCCAAGACUCUGUCUCAAAAAAAAAAAAAAAAUGAUUUCCUAGUUCUGUAAAAGUCGCUAUAUUGAGUGUUCUCUAUCACUUAAUAAUAUACUUACUUUGUUAUUAAGUGGACUUAAAGAUAUGCGGUGUAUAAAAUCAGCUAAUUAUGUUAAACCAUGGUGUCUCCCUUUAUUGUGUUAGGCUGAAUAGAACAAACUUUAAAAUAAUUUUUUAAAGAAAAUAUUUGAAUUCAUUUUGUUUGGUGUUAUGUUUUUAUUCAGAAAAGCAUUUUAUUAGUGCUAGGUGUGAACCGGAGCCUUUUGCUAAAUACCAGCAGCAAUCAUGUCCUAGAGUUAAAUCCCAGAAAAUUUGCCAUAUUGUAUAUUAAAGGUUCAAUAAAUUACAAUAAAGUAUUCUUUCUUUAAAGUGA